This 447-nucleotide ribosomal RNA is filed under the name uncultured bacterium. RNAcentral's name for it is "bacterial SSU rRNA". It matches the Rfam family "Bacterial small subunit ribosomal RNA", at positions 355 to 825 of the family's 1533-position model. The record is from RNAcentral.
UCGGGAAUUUUGGGCAAUGGGCGCAAGCCUGAUCCAGCCAUGCCGCGUGAGUGAUGAAGGCCUUAGGGUUGUAAAGCUCUUUUGCCGGGGACGAUAAUGACGGUACCCGGAGAAUAAGUCCCGGCUAACUUCGUGCCAGCAGCCGCGGUAAUACGAAGGGGACUAGCGUUGUUCGGAAUCACUGGGCGUAAAGCGCACGUAGGCGGAUUUGUAAGUCAGGGGUGAAAUCCCGGGGCUCAACCUCGGAACUGCCUUUGAUACUGCGGAUCUCGAGUCCGAUAGAGGUGAGUGGAAUUCCUAGUGUAGAGGUGAAAUUCGUAGAUAUUAGGAAGAACACCGGUGGCGAAGGCGGCUCACUGGAUCGGUACUGACGCUGAGGUGCGAAAGCGUGGGGAGCAAACAGGAUUAGAUACCCCAGUAGUCCCUGAGCGGGCUGGCAAGGCGCAU